This 623-nucleotide non-coding RNA is filed under the name Geobacillus thermodenitrificans. RNAcentral describes it as "Group I catalytic intron". It matches the Rfam family "Group I catalytic intron". From Rfam's summary of the family: Group I catalytic introns are large self-splicing ribozymes. They catalyse their own excision from mRNA, tRNA and rRNA precursors in a wide range of organisms. Lineage: Bacteria; Bacillati; Bacillota; Bacilli; Caryophanales; Anoxybacillaceae. The record is from RNAcentral.
UGACCCACCUUGUUGAGCAAGGUGGCUCCCGUUGACUAGGGCGCAAAACGGCGGGAGUAAAAUCUCGCGAAUUGCUGGAACACCCUAAAGCCAACUUGACCACAACGGAGCUGGUGACAGCAGACGUGACGGUUGGAAAACAAGUUGGAUGCAACAAUGGGCAACCAGCAGCCGAGCAUCUCUGGAAACGGAGAUGAAGGUUCAACGACUAUUGAAACUUCCUACAGCCCUCGGUACACUCAGGAUAACGAACACGGUUUCGUGGGGGAGGGCUAUGGAAGGAGUAAAUCGUAUCCCGCGGCAACGGGGAUACGAGGCGCGAGACAGGGAAGAGAUAAUGAAAAAAGCGAAGUAUCUACAUGAAGAGGGAUAUCGUCACGUUAAAAUCGCCAUGAUGUUGGGGAUUUCCAGGGGAACCUUAAUGAGAUGGAAUAAAGAGCAAGGAGUAUUCCAAACUAGAGCACCUGGAGAGGCUGGUAAGUUAGCAGUAAAAAAUAUCGUUAUAACGAGAACUGUUUUUCUAAUAUCAAAACCCCGAAUCAGGCUUAUCCUUAGGUUAAACCGUAAAUACGAGAUAUUCUCUUCCCUGAUGAUAUAGUCUGAUCUCCGACCGAAAGGCGGAG